Solanum dulcamara is the source of this 539-nucleotide long non-coding RNA. RefSeq lists it as uncharacterized. The record is from RefSeq and is a predicted model, not a curated record. Lineage: Eukaryota; Viridiplantae; Streptophyta; Magnoliopsida; Solanales; Solanaceae. The transcript is spliced from 3 exons.
AUUCAAAAUAUUCUAGAAAAUUCACGAACAAGAAAUAAGAGAAGAGAAGAAACUAGAGAGGGAGAAGGCCACGAUUUGGAGGGAAAAAAGCCCAAAACGUUACCAAACAGCCCCAAAGUUUCAGCUGCGCUAAAGGAAAUUCCGAGGCGAGUUUCGACGAGUUUGAUGAGUUUCGGGCAAGGUACAGGCGCGCGCUUUGGGGAUCCGCCAGCUUAGGAUUCCACUCAGCAAAUUUGGAAGAAGCUCUAUUGAAUCGGAGCCGAGUUUUGGUACUAAACCUUCUAUGUAUAUGUAAUUAUUUGAUUAUGGGUACGGCGGGGGCCCUAUCCCACCUUAUGUUACUAUUCUUACUCUUAGAGGUCGGUGGACAUGUAGUGGGUUAUACGUGGGUUGUGUAUACAUGUACGUGGGUUGUGUAUACAUGUACGUGGGUUGUGUAUAUAUGUAUGUGGGUUGUGUAUACAUGUGUGAACAGUUAUGCCUAUAGGUUCCAGAUCCAAGUGGUAGUAUCAGGCCCUUUAGAUAGCCUCGUCGGCUUA